RNAcentral lists this transfer RNA (84 nucleotides) under Candidatus Altimarinota bacterium. Its description in RNAcentral is "tRNA-Leu". It matches the Rfam family "tRNA". Rfam says of the family: Transfer RNA (tRNA) molecules are approximately 80 nucleotides in length. Their secondary structure includes four short double-helical elements and three loops (D, anti-codon, and T loops). Lineage: Bacteria; Candidatus Altimarinota. The record is from RNAcentral.
GCCCAGGUGGUGAAAUGGUAGACACGAGGGACUUAAAAUCCCUUACCGCAAGGUGUGCCGGUUCGAUCCCGGCCCUGGGCACCA